AUGCCUUAUUUGAUUUUUCUCAUCAAAUUAAACCAACAAAGAUGGGUGAAAAGCCAAGCAUCAGACUUGCCUAGAGGGCAUAUUUCUUAUGUCAUCACUUUCUUGUUUCAUCAUCUGGCCAUGGAUCCAACAACAUCUUCAACCAAAGCUUUGUUCUUCUCCUCAACCUUAAGACCUUCAUCAUGA
Molecule: non-coding RNA, 186 nt
Organism: Vicia faba (fava bean)
Lineage: Eukaryota; Viridiplantae; Streptophyta; Magnoliopsida; Fabales; Fabaceae
Source: the annotation of a GenBank genome assembly